UGGAGCCCCCGGCCUCGCCUCCUUUCCGCCCCCUCCGGCGCUCUCGGUGCGUUUGCGGGGCGAGGCGGCCGGAGAAGGAACGGGGAUCUCAGGCAGCUGGGUGUUGAGUCCCAGGCGAGCGCACGCGUGAGCGUUUGUAGCGCUCGCUGUCCCUAACUGGGCUUCCGUGGCAUCACCCCUCCGCCUGGACAUCUCCGGAGUCGUCAAGAAUUGAUCUUUUGCUGAUAAGGCUGUUCUUUGGAGCUGCAUCCGGUAGCCUUUCCAGGCAGAGGCAGGCUGGUGACCCAGUGAGGUGCUGAAGUGAAACCAACAACACCCAUUCUUCUCAUUUGGAAACAGCGGAUGUUCACAAGGGACCUGGAUAUUAUAUCAACAGGAUAUAAUGGGAAAACAAAAGAAGGCUGUAACUAGCAUGUAGACAAUGUAUCUUUAUUAUUUCCAAUUAAGGAGCUCUUGUUCUGUGGAGUAGUGUCCUGUCCCCUGCCACCCCCUUGGCAUCUUUAGUCUUCACAACAACAGAUUUUCAGCUCUUCACUGAUUAGAUUUGAGCUCUGUUUUUAUACAAAUGUUUUUUAACUUGGUCUGUUGGCUAAGGACAACCAGCUGCAACAUUAAAGGAGUAAUUUUAAUUCUGAUUGCAUUGCAUCUUCCACUUGGUAAGGAUUGAGUGCUUUUUAAAAAGCCCAUCUUGAAUCUUCUCAUGCUUGGGAAGAAGGGAAGAGAAACCAAUUCAUAAUAUAGUAUUUAUCUGGUUCUGUUUGCAAAAUUAAAUAUUUUCCCUGAAUAGGAAAUGGUACUGCAAAGGCCAUAAAAUACAGUAGCAGUGUUAGUCUUAAAGCCUAUCAUCUGAAAGAUACAUGACAUUCAGAUAUUGUGAAGGUAUUUGGGUUUUUAAAUAAAACACUAUUUUGACACUGC
Molecule: non-coding RNA, 918 nt
Organism: Lonchura striata (white-rumped munia)
Lineage: Eukaryota; Metazoa; Chordata; Aves; Passeriformes; Estrildidae
Source: RefSeq, a predicted model, not a curated record